GCCUCUGUAGCUCAGUCGGUAGAGCGUGUGACUGUUAAUCACAAGGUCCUCGGUUCGAUCCCGUGCGGGGGCGCCA
This 76-nucleotide transfer RNA is filed under the name Methanomethylophilus alvi. RNAcentral's name for it is "Candidatus Methanomethylophilus alvus tRNA-Asn". It matches the Rfam family "tRNA". From Rfam's summary of the family: Transfer RNA (tRNA) molecules are approximately 80 nucleotides in length. Their secondary structure includes four short double-helical elements and three loops (D, anti-codon, and T loops). The record is from RNAcentral. Lineage: Archaea; Methanobacteriati; Thermoplasmatota; Thermoplasmata; Methanomassiliicoccales; Methanomethylophilaceae. RNAcentral also lists the same sequence under 3 other names.